GAUGAACGCUGGCGGCGUGCCUAAUACAUGCAAGUCGAGCGAACGGACGAUAAGCUUGCUUCUCUGAUGUUAGCGUCUGACUGGUGAGUAACACGUUGAUAACCUACCUAUAUGACUGGGAUAACUUCGUGAAACCGGAGCUAAUACCGUAUAAUAUUUUGAACCUCAUUGUUCAAAAGUGAAAGAUUGUAUUGCUGUCACUUAUAGAUGGAUCCGCGCUGCAUUAGCUAUUUGGUAAGGUAACGGCUUACCAAGGCAACGAAGCAUAGCCGACCUGAGAGGGUGAUCGGCAACACUGGAACUGAGACACGCUCCAGACUCCUACGGGAGGAAGCAGUAGGGAAUCUUCCGCAAUGGGCGAAAGCCUGACGGAGCAACGCGGCGUGAUUGAUGAAGGUCUUCGGAUCGUAAAACCCUGUUAUUAGGGAAGAACAUAUGUGUAAGUAACUGUGCACAUCGUGACGGUACCUAAUCAGAAAGCCACGGCUAACUACGUG
RNAcentral lists this ribosomal RNA (497 nucleotides) under uncultured bacterium. RNAcentral describes it as "partial 16S ribosomal RNA". It matches the Rfam family "Bacterial small subunit ribosomal RNA", at positions 28 to 507 of the family's 1533-position model. The record is from RNAcentral.